This 132-nucleotide small RNA is filed under the name Escherichia coli. Its description in RNAcentral is "RtT sRNA". It matches the Rfam family "RtT RNA". From Rfam's summary of the family: This family represents a bacterial cis-regulatory element known as RtT RNA. The exact function of RtT is unknown although it is thought that it may be involved in changing the cellular response in relation to amino acid starvation. Lineage: Bacteria; Pseudomonadati; Pseudomonadota; Gammaproteobacteria; Enterobacterales; Enterobacteriaceae. RNAcentral also lists the same sequence under 1 other name. The record is from RNAcentral.
AUUCUGCCCAAGCGGGGAAGGAUGAGAAGCUUCGACCAAGGUUCGACUUGAGCGCCAGCGAGAGAGCGUUGCCGCAGGCAACGACCCGUAGGGCGAAGCGCGCAGCGCUGAGUAAUCCUUCCCCCACCACCA